GGUCUUAGCUUGCUAAGACUGAUGGCGACCGGCGCACGGGUGCGUAACGCGUAUGCAACUUGCCUCACAGAGGGGGAUAACCCGUCGAAAGACGGACUAAUACCGCGUACACUUACAGGAGGGCAUCCUCCAGUAAGGAAAUGAAAUUCGCUGUGAGAUAGGCAUGCGUCCCAUUAGCUAGUUGGUGAGGUAACGGCUCACCAAGGCGACGAUGGGUAGGGGAACUGAGAGGUUGAACCCCCACACUGGUACUGAGACACGGACCAGACUCCUACGGGAGGCAGCAGUGAGGAAUAUUGGUCAAUGGGCGAGAGCCUGAACCAGCCAAGUCGCGUGAAGGAUGACUGUCUUAUGGAUUGUAAACUUCUUUUAUACGGGAAUAACAAGAGUCACGUGUGGCUCCCUGCAUGUACCGUAUGAAUAAGCAUCGGCUAACUCCGUGCCAGCAGCCGCGGUAAUACGGAGGAUGCGAGCGUUAUCCGGAUUUAUUGGGUUUAAAGGGUGCGUAGGCGGCCUGUUAAGUCAGCGGUGAAAUCUAGGAGCUUAACUCCUAAAUUGCCAUUGAUACUGGCGGGCUUGAGUGUAGAUGAGGUAGGCGGAAUGCGUGGUGUAGCGGUGGAAUGCAUAGAUAUCACGCAGAACUCCGAUUGCGAAGGCAGCUUACUAAGGUACAACUGACGCUGAAGCACGAAAGCGUGGGUAUCAAACAGGAUUAGAUACCCUGGUAGUCCACGCAGUAAACGAUGAUAACUGGGCGUAUGCGAUAUACAGUAUGCUCCUAAGCGAAAGCGUUAAGUUAUCCACCUGGGGAGUACGCCGGCAACGGUGAAACUCAAAGGAAUUGACGGGGGCCCGCACAAGCGGAGGAACAUGUGGUUUAAUUCGAUGAUACGCGAGGAACCUUACCCGGGAUUGAAAUGUAGAUGACCGCCGGUGAAAGUCGGCUUUCCUUCGGGACAUCUAUGUAGGUGCUGCAUGGUUGUCGUCAGCUCGUGCCGUGAGGUGUCGGCUUAAGUGCCAUAACGAGCGCAACCCCUGUCUACGGUUGCCAUCAGGUGAUGCUGGGAACUCCGUAGAGACUGCCGUCGUAAG
Molecule: ribosomal RNA, 1092 nt
Filed under: uncultured bacterium
Lineage: Bacteria
Description: bacterial SSU rRNA
Rfam family: Bacterial small subunit ribosomal RNA
Source: RNAcentral